RNAcentral lists this ribosomal RNA (301 nucleotides) under uncultured bacterium. RNAcentral's name for it is "partial 16S ribosomal RNA". It matches the Rfam family "Bacterial small subunit ribosomal RNA", at positions 509 to 807 of the family's 1533-position model. The record is from RNAcentral.
CAGUAGCCGCGGUAAUACGAAGGGUGCAAGCGUUACUCGGAAUUACUGGGCGUAAAGCGUGCGCAGGCGGUUAUAUAAGACAGUUGUGAAAUCCCCGGGCUCAACCUGGGAACUGCAUCUGUGACUGUAUAGCUAGAGUACGGUAGAGGGGGAUGGAAUUCCGCGUGUAGCAGUGAAAUGCGUAGAUAUGCGGAGGAACACCGAUGGCGAAGGCAAUCCCCUGGACCUGUACUGACGCUCAUGCACGAAAGCGUGGGGAGCAAACAGGAUUAGAUACCCCCGUAGUCCCUGUCUCUUAUAC